Molecule: non-coding RNA, 124 nt
Filed under: Reichenbachiella faecimaris
Lineage: Bacteria; Pseudomonadati; Bacteroidota; Cytophagia; Cytophagales; Reichenbachiellaceae
Description: SAM-I sequence
Rfam family: SAM riboswitch aptamer (S box leader)
About the family: The SAM riboswitch is found upstream of a number of genes which code for proteins involved in methionine or cysteine biosynthesis in Gram-positive bacteria. The SAM riboswitch acts at the level of transcription termination control.
Source: Rfam by way of RNAcentral
CACUUAUCAAGAAAGACCGAGGGACUGGGCCCGUUGACGUCUUGGCAACAUAUCCAAAGCCGCAAUACUGGAUGUUGUGCCAACUCCCAUUCUGAAUGAAUCAUCAUUUAGAAAAAGAUAGGUU